GCUGCGCUCAGGCCGCUCCAGCGGGCGGGGCCGGGGCCGGGUCCCGCCGCUUCCCCGAGUCGGACUCGGAGCCGCCCGGAGCGAAGCGGCCGGGAGCGGAGCCGGGAUGGAUGACAUCUUCACGCAGUGCCGGGAGGGCAACGCCGUGGCCGUGCGCCUCUGGCUGGACAACACUGAGAACGAUCUCAACCAGGGGGAUGACCACGGAUUCAGCCCCCUGCACUGGGCCUGCCGUGAGGGCCGCUCCACCGUGGUGGACAUGCUCAUCAUGCGGGGCGCCCGCAUCAACGUUAUGAACCGCGGUGACGACACCCCGCUGCAUCUGGCGGCCAGCCAUGGGCACCGGGACAUCGUGCAGAAGCUGAUCCAGUUCAAGGCAGACAUCAAUGCAGUGAAUGAGCAUGGGAACACGCCGCUGCACUACGCCUGCUUCUGGGGGCACGACCAGGUGGCCGAGGACCUGGUGAGCAGCGGGGCCCUUGUCAGCAUCUCCAACAAAUAUGGCGAGAUGCCUGUGGACAAGGCCAAGGUACCACUGCGCGAACUGCUGAAAGAGCGUGCAGAGAAGCUGGGCCAGAGCCUGACCAAGAUCCCCUACAAGGACACCUUCUGGAAGGGCACCACUCGCACGCGGCCCCGAAACGGGACCCUGAACAAACUGGCCGGUAUAGACUUCAAGCAGCUGAGCCUGGGCCACAAACUCAACGAGAACCAGUCAGGAGAGCUGUGGAAGGGGCGCUGGCAGGGCAAUGACAUCGUUAUCAAAGUGAUGAAAAUUCGGGAUUGGACAACACGGAAAAGCCGAGACUUCAACGAGGAGCAUCCCAAGCUCCGGAUCUUCUCACACCCCAAUGUUCUGCCAGUGCUGGGGGCCUGCCAGUCACCCCCCGCCCCGCACCCGAUCAUCAUCACGCACUGGAUGCCGUACGGCUCCCUCUACAACGUCUUACACGAGGGGACGAACUUUGUGGUGGAUCAGAUGCAAGCAGUGAAGUUUGCCCUGGACAUCGCCCGGGGCAUGGCCUUCCUGCACACACUGGAGCCCCUCAUCCCACGCCACAAUCUCAACAGCCGCAGCAUCAUGAUCGACGAGGACAUGACGGCGCGUAUCAGCAUGGCCGACGUGAAAUUCUCCUUCCAGUGCCCAGGCAGGAUGUAUGCCCCAGCCUGGGUGGCGCCUGAGGCACUGCAGAAGAAGCCAGAGGAAAUCAACCGGCGCUCGGCGGACAUGUGGAGCUUUGCAGUGCUGCUGUGGGAGCUGGUGACACGCGAGGUGCCCUUCGCAGACCUGUCCAAUAUGGAGAUUGGCAUGAAGGUGGCACUGGAGGGGCUACGCCCGACCAUCCCGCCUGGCAUCUCCCCACACAUCUGCAAGUUGAUGAAGAUCUGUAUGAAUGAGGACCCUGCAAAACGGCCCAAGUUCGACAUGAUCGUCCCCAUCCUGGAGAAGAUGCAGGAGAAAUAGGGGCCAGCCCCCUGCUGCUUGCUGCUGCCAAGCUGCCCCCACCCCAUCCAAGUGCCUUCAGGAGGUGCCCCGCCUUUCCCAGCAGGUGGUGCUGGUGCUUUCCCAGACACUGCAACCUGAGCCGGCCACAGACACAUGGGACAGGAGGCAGUGUCAGCAACAGCAGGGAAGCUGCUGCCGGGCACCUCCCCUACCCCGUCCCCUUGAAGAGACAAGGUGGGGGAGGGAAUUGGACCACCUUAUGUUGGAGACAAAGACAAGCUGUCCCCCCUUACACCGAGCUCAACAGCUCUUAAGUGACCUAUACUUCCUGAGAAAACACAAGAAACAGCACAUCCUCCCCAGGGAUCUCAGUGGCCAGACUCUCUGCAGCCAGACUUCAGAAAGGCUAAGGAACCACAAUCACCACGUGCUCCCAUACACUGGAAGAAAGUCACCUGGAAAUCAUGCAAGAAAUCCCAGGCAGCCUGAGGACAGCCAUCCGACAUUCACUCCAAGUGUCACGGUGAAAUACAAGCUUUGCCUGGCUUGGAUUUCCCAGACCUGAAGCAGAGCUCUGUGGAAGCUCAAGCCUCUCAAGAGGAGCUGGUGCAAUAAAAGACUUUACCUCA
This is an RNA transcript of Gopherus evgoodei (Goodes thornscrub tortoise), 2076 nucleotides long. It is a transcript of the gene named integrin linked kinase, with no coding region annotated. The record is from RefSeq and is a predicted model, not a curated record. Lineage: Eukaryota; Metazoa; Chordata; Testudines; Testudinidae. The transcript is spliced from 14 exons.